GGUGAGUAACACGUGGAUAACCUACCUAUAAGACUGGGAUAACUUCGGGAAACCGGAGCUAAUACCGGAUAAUAUAUUGAACCGCAUGGUUCAAUAGUGAAAGACGGUUUUGCUGUCACUUAUAGAUGGAUCCGCGCCGCAUUAGUUAGUUGGUAAGGUAACGGCUUACCAAGGCAACGAUGCGUAGCCGACCUGAGAGGGUGAUCGGCCACACUGGAACUGAGACACGGUCCAG
This 235-nucleotide ribosomal RNA is filed under the name uncultured Staphylococcus sp. RNAcentral describes it as "partial 16S ribosomal RNA". It matches the Rfam family "Bacterial small subunit ribosomal RNA", at positions 105 to 334 of the family's 1533-position model. The record is from RNAcentral. Lineage: Bacteria; Bacillati; Bacillota; Bacilli; Caryophanales; Staphylococcaceae.